RNAcentral lists this unclassified non-coding RNA (952 nucleotides) under Bombus terrestris (buff-tailed bumblebee). RNAcentral describes it as "misc RNA ENSBTSG00005031384.1". Lineage: Eukaryota; Metazoa; Arthropoda; Insecta; Hymenoptera; Apidae. The record is from RNAcentral.
GAAAAGUAGAUAUUUGUUAACACAAUAACCUACUACAGCUUAAUUUCUUCGCGUCUACACGCAUAGAAAACCAAAAGGAAACUUGCGGUUUCGUUUUUUCUCAAAGCACGUUAAUUUGAAUAUCGCUAGGGUUUUCGUUUUUAUACGGAAUAAAUUAUUCAAAAAAACGAAUUUUUCUACCUGGAUGUCCGGCGACCGAUUCUUUUUUUCAUUGGAGCACCACUUUUCGUUCGUGUUCCAGGCCUCCGCGCACACAAACAUGGAGGCAUGUGGGACGAUCAAGAUUUAAGGACUUGACACGAACCACCGUGAAAAAAAAAAGAAAAGAAUACACGCAACGGUUGAAAGUUGAAAAACAAGUCCAUGGAAGAAGAUAAACUUCUACUUGGAAAAAGAAUAUGUCUCGUGAAUCGUCUUACUUCGACGUGUCUUUGAAUUCGUGGCAAUAUUGAAUUUUAAUUGAAGAACAUUGCCGGAAAGCAAGAAGUGGUUCGAUUAAAACUGGUAGAAUGUCAUAUUAGGAAUAACACGGGUUCAAAGGCAAAAAGAAUGUAAAAUAUACCUUCCAGCAUUUUCUUAUCUGAAUAACCACGAUCGAACAAGGAAAAUGUAAUCACGAUGGAGAGUCAUUAGACGAUGAGAAAUUUUCGAAAGUUUCAAUGGAAUCGUGCUCAAGCAGGAGACUUAUCAAAGGGGGAGACCUAUGGCGGCUGUCUGAUUCCUAGCCCUGCGAGUUUGAGGGUCAAUCGAUAACGAAUCUAAAUAUUGGCUUCGCCUUUUACUUUUAUCAACGUGCACAAUCCUUAAGUGCCAGGCCGAUCGUAGUUCUUCUUGUAUAUUAUGUAUACAGGAAAAAUCGUAAAACCAAGAUGAUGACGAAAAAUGAGGUCAUCGUUACAAGCAGUCACCCUCCUACGAGUAUUAUGAUGUAACAGAACUGGACACUUUAACA